Molecule: ribosomal RNA, 497 nt
Filed under: uncultured bacterium
Lineage: Bacteria
Description: partial 16S ribosomal RNA
Rfam family: Bacterial small subunit ribosomal RNA
Source: RNAcentral
GAUGAACGCUGGCGGCGUGCCUAAUACAUGCAAGUCGAACGAAUAGAGAAAGGUGCUUGCACUUUUCUAGUGAGUGGCGAACGGGUGAGUAACACGUGGAAAACCUGCCACAAGGCUGGGGUUAACUCUUGGAAACAGAUGCUAAUCCCGAAUAAAAUUUAGUCUCGCUCGACACAAAGUUAAAAGGCGCUUUGCCGUCACUUAGAGAUGGAUCCGCGCUGCAUUAGUUAGUUGGUGAGGUAACGGCUUACCAAGACAAUGAUGCAUAGCCGAGUUGAGAGAGUGAUCGGCCACAUUGGGACUGAGACACGGCCCAGACUCCUACGGGAGGCUGCAGUAGGGAAUCUUCCACAAUGGGCGAAAGCCUGAUGGAGCAACGCCGCGUGAGUGAUGAAGGCUUUCGGAUCGUAAAACACUGUUGUAUGGGAAGAACAGAUGGGAUAGGAAAUGAUUUUAGUUUGACGGUACCAUACCAGAAAGGGACGGCUAAAUACGUG